GAUGAGAGGAUUGACUCUGCUUAAAGGGAGAGACGGAGAGUGUUGCAAAGAAUUGGUUUUGGGUCUCAUGUUCUCUGCAUGUGGUGAUUGAACUUCGUCGACGAGAGAGACAGAGCACCUUUCUUCGUUUCAAAAAGGGUACUUGCUGGGUUUCUUUCAAAGAUUAUCUCCAAACUCAAUCUAGAUCUUUGUAUGUGACUGGUUAUGGGGUUGGGUGAUGCAGAGGUUACUGAGAUUGUUAUGGAUUUUGGAGCUUCUGGAUUUACAAUCAGAAUGAACGCACUAUCGAAACAAUUUGAAGCUAGAACAGGCGAAGGAAGGUCAUAAGUGUUUUUGGACCCACAAUGGCUUCGUACUCAGAAGUUACCUUGAAUGUUUGUUUGGGCAAGCAAAUUACUGGUGGUCAAUUGGUGUAUUUUCGAGGUGUUCAAUUUGAUAAUCAUGUGAAUUUGGAGACACUCUUAGAGGUGUUUGAUCAAUGGUCCGUCGUGGUAUCUUGCAUUCUACAUAUUGACAAGCCCCUUCUUGACACUGAGGACCAAAACCAAGUUUGUCUUUGCAAGCCCAGGAAAAACUGCAGAGACCCCUUUCAAGUACAUUUCUGCUGAGCAUGUUCCUAGCCAAUAUGGAGGUUUGAGUGUGGAUUAUUGUGAUGGCAAAAUGGAAUUCACGAUUGCUGAUCCAGUGUCUAAAGUAACCAUCAAACUGGGGAUGAAGAAGACUCUGGAAAUUAUAAUUUAUGAGAAAUGAUGCUAGGAUUUCUCAAUUGGCAAGUGUAAAUGAAGGAAUAAUAUACAAGGGAAGGUGGACUGCAAGCAAAAGCUAAUUGUUUAUUGAAGAACCCAGCAACUAUUGUUAACAAUAUUUAAGGCUUUGUACCAUUGUAGUCUAGGUUUACAAGCUUUUGUCUGAAAUAAUGAUUAAAAGGUGAAAAUUGCAAGGCAUUAUGAGAAAUGAUGCCAUGGCUGUUUCUGUUGCAGAGGCCAAAAGUACUCCAUCAUUUUUUUGUAAAUUGUAUAUUGAUAUAAAUGUGAAGAUUUGAGUAUUGGUAUUAAAUAUAUACCAAUUGAUUGACC
Molecule: long non-coding RNA, 1076 nt
Organism: Rosa chinensis
Lineage: Eukaryota; Viridiplantae; Streptophyta; Magnoliopsida; Rosales; Rosaceae
Exons: 5
Source: RefSeq, a predicted model, not a curated record